This 661-nucleotide ribosomal RNA is filed under the name Colias meadii (Mead's sulphur). Its description in RNAcentral is "partial large subunit ribosomal RNA". Lineage: Eukaryota; Metazoa; Arthropoda; Insecta; Lepidoptera; Pieridae. The record is from RNAcentral.
AUUUUUGCCGAAUUCCUUUUUAUUAAUUUUAAUUAAUUUUAUUUUAUUUUUUUUUUCUUAUAUACUAAUUUUAUCAUUAUAACUAAUUUUUUAUUAUUAAAAAUUAUUUUUUUAUAUAAAUUUAAAUAUAAAUUUAAAUUUUAAAAUAAAUAAAAUUAUUUAUAAAAAAUUAUAAUUUAUAAAAAAUAUAAAUUUUAAAAUAUUUAAAUAAUUUAUUAAUAUUAUAAAAAUUUAAUUUAAAGCUUAUCCCUUAAAAUAUUUAAUUAAAUAUAUAAUUUUAUAUAACAAAUUUAAAAAAUUAUUAAAUUAAUUUAAAAUUAAAUUUUUUUCUAAAAAAACUAGAUAUUUUUAAAAACGAUUAACAUUUCAUUUCAAAUUAAUUAUUUAAAAUAAUUAUGUAACAUUAACUUUAAUAAUUAACUAUCUCUUUUAAAUUCGAGAUAUUUUUAUUUAAAAAUAUUUUAUUAAUAAACUCUGAUACACAAGAUACAAUAAAUUAAAUUUACUUAAAUAAUAAUCCAUAUUUAACUUUAUUUCAAAAUUCUUUCACAAUACUAUUAAACUAUAAAUUAAUAAAUUUUUUCUAAAAAAUACUUUAACCCCCAUUAAUUAUUUUUUAUAAUUAUUUUUAUUAUUUAUUUUAUUUAUUAAUUUUCCCCCA